GAGAUGCCUUCGACUUUAAUGUCUCC
RNAcentral lists this non-coding RNA (26 nucleotides) under Rattus norvegicus (Norway rat). Lineage: Eukaryota; Metazoa; Chordata; Mammalia; Rodentia; Muridae. The record is from RNAcentral.